GAUGAACGCUGGCGGCGUGACUAAUAUAUGCAAGUCGAGCGAACGGACGAGAAGCUUGCUUCUCUGAUGUUAGCGGCGGACGGGUGAGUAACACGUGGAUAACCUACCUAUAAGACUGGGAUAACUUCGGGAAACCGGAGCUAAUACCGGAUAAUAUUUUAACCGGAAGGGUCAAAAAUUGAAGGCGGUUUUGCUGGCACUUAUAGCAGGAAUCGCGCUGCAUUAGCUAGUUGGUAAGGUAACGGCUUACCCAGGCAACGAUGCAUAGCCGACCUGAGAGGGUGAUCGGCCACACUGGAACUGAGACACGGUCCAGACUCCUACGGGAGGCAGCAGUAGGGAAUCUUCCGCAAUGGGCGAAAGCCUGACGGAGCAACGCCGCGUGAGUGAUGAAGGUCUUCGGAUCGUAAAACUCUGUUAUUAGGGAAGAACAUAUGUGUAAGUAACUGUGCACAUCUUGACGGUACCUAAUCAGAAAGCCACGGCUAACUACGUG
This 496-nucleotide ribosomal RNA is filed under the name uncultured bacterium. RNAcentral describes it as "partial 16S ribosomal RNA". It matches the Rfam family "Bacterial small subunit ribosomal RNA", at positions 28 to 507 of the family's 1533-position model. The record is from RNAcentral.